This is a non-coding RNA of Monodelphis domestica (gray short-tailed opossum), 5076 nucleotides long. NCBI's taxonomy places the organism in Eukaryota, Metazoa, Chordata, Mammalia, Didelphimorphia, Didelphidae. The record is from RefSeq and is a predicted model, not a curated record.
AAGCAGGUGUAGCUGUAGAGAAAACUCUGCCCCAUUUUGCAGGGAGAAGAAAAUACCUGAUAAAUGGAAUGAGACUUGGGAAAUGUCUACAAAUCACUGGCCGCUUUCAUUUCUUGAUCCCAUAUCAAAUUUCACCAUCUACCCCUGAUAGCCACCUUUACAGCGACAUUAUUGAGUAUACCAAGAAGAAAUGACUCUUCAGAAGAUGAAUUUGGAUAAAAAACACAUAGAUCUGACCAAUUACCAAAGACAGAAAAUACAUGGUGGUGAUAAUUUUGAAAGAAUGAAGGGAUCAGUUUUCAAGAUGAUUUAUUGAAAGAAAGAUUUUCAAAGAAGAGAAAAAAAGUACUGGCCCCAAAAGUAUUGUCCUCAAAAGAUCAUAUAAGAUUCCUUGAGAAAUGUAACUACAAUCCUCUGAUAAAUAUCAAGAUGGCAAGAAGCAGGUAACAGAUGAAUGCUAUGCUACACCACUCAAAAAACAGCAGUAAUAAUACUCAAGUUUCCUGUGAAGGCUCCAGGAAUUUGUACCUCACUGUGGCAUAGAGAUGACCUUGGCUUCUUGAAGACUACACUAGUGUAUUGCAGAACUUGGUGGUAUCACUGAGCUUCUGUAAAACAGGGACUUUUUGAAUUGCUCUAUGACAAACAGCAGUCAGUCUGCCUGGAGGGAAUUGAUAAGAGACUGAAGACUGACAAAUCCUAGAAAGAAGAGGAUUGACACUCUGCUGACGGGAGAGCAAAGCAGGACAAGGAUGCAAACCAGCCGGUGGCUUUUAAGAGAGCCAGGCUCGGCAGUAUCACGGAGAGAGGAAGAUAAACUCUGUGAGAGAAGGGCAGGACAGUGGUAAAAACUCCAUGGCAAAGGCUCUGAAUGUAACAGAAAAUGGCUGUUGAUGUGACUAAGGCCUUUUAAAGGAAUCCUGUAGAUGAAUGUGACUGUUUUCUCCCCAAGAAGCUGAUGGUGAGAUACUUCAAGUUUUCCUUCUCUUUUUUAUCUCUGCCUACAAAGGAUGAGCAUUUUACUCCUAAAUUAUUGUGCCCUUUAAAUCUGCGAUAAUUUCUGAUGUAUUUCUUAGAAUGUUGCCUUUUUCAUGAAAUCUGCGAUCAAUCAUGACCCAUUUAUGUUACAAUCUGUUCUGUACUAGAAAAGGAGAAUUGAUGGGAGCUGGUAGUGAGUGAAAAAAAAUACAGAGGGUUUAAACAGGACAGAUCUAAAUCUCUGUCUGGACGUUAGGAACUCUUCUAACUGGGGUCUUUACACUGUUAUGAUUUUAUUAAAAUUUUUUUUGUGUUAUAUAAAUUCCUUAACCUAGCAAAGAAACUGAUUCAUAUAGAUCAGGGGCCAUUGUGCCUCUACAAUAAAACAACUCAACUUGAAGCUUGUUGUAGUUAUAUGUGGUUACUUAAAAAGUGAGGUUUCAGGUAAAAUUCCAGAAUAUAAGGGGGCAGGGAGUAGAGAAGGGGAGCAAAAUGAAGACUAUACCUCAUUACCUUAGCCAAGCAGUUUUUCAUGGUUAUAAAGGACAUGCUAAAAAUAUUGUUUUUAUUAUUGAGUUUUUAAGAAUCGACCUUGGCCUGGCCCUGUGUUAAUUAGUACAUAAAUUAAACAAAUUCACUAACUGAGCAGACAUUGAUUAAAUGACUGAAGAGGGCAAGGGGAAAAGUACAUAACUUAUCAUAUAUGUAUACCUCAUAUGUGUAAGUAUGUAUAGGAAAUGGUAUAUACACAAACAAGAGAAGUAGUACAUGAGAAAUGCCUAGAAGAUAAAAGUGCUGAUGGUCAACUCAGAUUUACAAAGGCUUUAUGGAGAAUGUGGAAUUUGAACUGGAUCAAGAAGGACUGGCAGGAUUUCAGUAUAUGGAAGUGUGAAGUUUAAUGUGCAUUAGCAUUUUCUCCGUCUCUUUAUUUCAAUCUAGAUAAUUUUAAAAAAUCAAGCCCUGAUUUUUAACAUUUGCUAAUUUUUGAGGUGUAGAUGCUUGAAAAUUUAACAAUCUGUUCUUGAAGGCUAGCUGGAGCUGGCUUUAGUUCACCCCUGGUGAUAGGGAAUCCUGCAAGAUUAUGGAAACCCUUGAAUGCCAGAAGUCUAUGAGUCUAAACUUUACUUUUUGAUCAAUAGAAAACCAUCAAAGGGUUUUGAACAAAGGAAUAAAAUGUAUAAGGAAGAUUUGUCUGCAUCAAUAUUAAAGGUUUCUUAAAGGAAUGAGAAUGGAGGUGGGAAGCCCUAUUAGGAGACUACUGUAAGAGUUCAGAUAGGGCAGAAUAUAAACUGACUUGGUCACACUAUACUUAUAAUGAAUUCUCACACCAAAAGAAACUCUUGGGUGUUUUUGCUUGUAACUCAAAAUUCAAUACUGUGUAAUAGUAGACACAUAUUUGUUGCUGAAAAAUCUUAUUUUUAUUAGCACAAAAGCUCAUGUAUUCUCUUCAGGUUCUGGUGUGGAUUUUUCUUGGAGGUAAAAAGGACAAUUUAAAACUUUUCUUCCUUCCUUUUUACUUUCAUUCCAGAUUUCCCAAUAUGCUUCAACAUAUUCAACAAGUAUUUGUUAGGCACCUGUACACUUGUUAUGCUGGUGGGCAUAGUUACAGACCCUGGGAUAUAGACAAAAAUCAAAUGGUUUUUCCCUUCAAUGCACUUACAUUCUUUUUAGGAAGGACUGGGAUAACGUAUGUACCUAGAUAUACACAAAAUAAAUACAAAAGACUAGAGCAGUGAUGGCCAACCUUUUAAAGAAUAGUGCUGGGCCCUGCCCUUACCCCCUCACAUGUGUGCUGUGACCCUUCCCCCCACAUAUUGGGUACUCCCUUCUCCCCUUCCACCAUACCCCACACAGGGGAAGGAGGAAGUGCUCCCAUUGGGCUGCUGGGCAGACGGGCAGGGGAAGUGAAGAAUGUCCUCAGCAAGUGUAGUGAGGGGGAGAGGAGUGGCCUGAGCACUCUGCUCCCUUUCAGCUCGGCCAACUGUGAGCCCACCUCAACCCUUGUGUGGUACUUGACCUGAAUCUUGAAUGAAUCCUGAAAGCAGCUAUGGCAAGAUCAAUAAACUUGAGUUGCUACAAUGCUUUCCACAGUCUGGGUUCUAGAAUUCUAUACAUUUGUUAAUAUAUAUGCAGCUAAGUAGCACAGUGAAUAGAGGAUAGGCCUUGAGUCUGGAGGACCUGGGUUCUCCUUUGGCUUCAUAUACUUCCUAGGUGUGUGAUCCUGGCAAGUCGCUUAACCCCAAUUGCCUAGCUCUUGCCAUUCUUCUGUCCCACAGCUGGUACUAGAACAGAAGAGAAGGGGCUUUUUAAAAAAAAUUUUUAAUGGCAACUGCUACCCUUCCUCAUCCUGGGGAAUGUAAUGAGUUGAUUUUAUUUGCUAUAGAAAGUGUACAUGAAUAGACCAUUCACAUAUAGCUAUAGAAAUAAUAUAGGGCCUUUUCUCCCCAUUAGGAUAUUUGUAUAUUGGAAGAUUAUUCUCCCCUCUCUUAUGUAAUGUGAGCUAGCAUUCAUGUUCAGAAACCUAAGGGGGCUAUAAAAAAAAGCAACAAAAUAAGAACAAUCAAAGGUCAGCAUCUUGGCACCUGCCUGAACAUUUACAACUCAAGAUUAUCUGGGAAGAUUCAUGGCUAUUUAGGUUGGCCAGUAUUCUCUAACAUUUCAUUUUUUCAGUGCGUUCACUCUUAAAAUCAGCUGAGAGUCUCCCCUCCUUUUUUUUCUUCAUAAUUGAAACUUUGCAGAUAAAUGUUCCUUUGGACUCAUAUGCCCCCAUUGUAGUCAGCAUCAUAGAUAAAACUCUCUAUAUUUACCUUAGCUAACUUUGAAUAAACCAGAGAAUUCUACUCAUACCUUCUUUUGCCCUCAACCUAAUAACCAAAGCGUUGAUCUAGAAAUGAAGUUAACAAGUAACACUUUGGUGCCCACACAUCAUCAUCCUGGAACCAACUUUGCCUACAAAAGUAAGGACUAUCUCUAACAUGUAUGAAUGUAAAGCUGUUAAGAUCUCUUUGAACAGCUGGGUAAUCUCCUCUAUCUGGAUGCAGCUUUGGAGACCUAUAGGAUCCAUUCCCAUCUUUAGUCAGAAGUAAAGAAAAUCCUUUAAUAAGUCUCUUUGGACAGAUAAAUCUUGUUCAUUGGUUUUCUUUUGUUGUCUCUGGCAUGGCUGAAAGGUUACUUCAUAAUGACUGAUUUGGAGACAUCUGCCACCAGAUUAAGGAAAUGAAAUUGUAGGAGAAACUGAUCAAGCCUCCUGGUUUUUAAAACUCCUCAGACUCGAGAGCUCUUAUUCUACCUGCAAUAAGAAGUGAUUAUAAGGAUUGAAGGAUUCCAAGAAUUAAAGUUUCUUGCACUUUUGAUGCUGGGUUUUCUGCAGAUGUAGACCUCAAAGUUGUCUUAGCCUUAUUUCAUUUUUGGGGGACUUUUCCCAAGUAGCUGCUGGAAGGCAUAGAAGUGGCCACAUCAAUAUCCAGUCCCCGUUUCUUCAGGACCAAAAACUACCCAGAGGAUUCAAAAAGGAGGGCCAAAGAAUAGAAUUUCAUCACAAUGUCUCCAGCACCAUCCAGAGAAAAAAUGAUGAAUACAGAAGAUAGGAACAUUGAAUUGAAGCAAAGUAAGCAGAACGAGGAACAAUAACUAUACUAAUGUAAACAAAAAAAUAUAACUGAAACUGAUUGCUGUGAAAUUAUGACCAAGAUUGACCCUAAAGAAGAGCUAAGAAGACACUCUUCUAUGCAGAAGUUUGAGGAAACAACAGAUAAUUGUUUUAAUUUUUUUGGUGUGGUCACAUUUGUCAAACUUUUUCCUCCUCUCUUAAAAAAUAUAUUAUAAUGUAUGCUUCUUUAAGUGCCAUAUACUGGGAAAUUAUGGGUGACAUAAUAAGAGAAGAUAUUAAUAAAAGUUAUUUUAAAUAACAAAAAAAAGAGGGGAAAAACUAUGGAAGAUAUUGCCAAGAUAGAAUUCACAGAAUUUACCAAGUGAUUAUACGGGGGAUGGCGAAGAGGGAAAUGUUAUAUGACUUCAGAAAAUGGAUGAGGAAUAAUUUAUCCUAUGUCUUGGCAGAGAGGCUAUGGUGAAGAGGUAGAGAAUAAGACAAACAUUUUU